GGGGAUAUAGCUCAGAGGUAGAGCGCUUGCCUAGCAUGUGUGAUGUCCUGGAUUUGGUCCCCUGUAUUGCCA
RNAcentral lists this transfer RNA (72 nucleotides) under Ictidomys tridecemlineatus (thirteen-lined ground squirrel). RNAcentral describes it as "Spermophilus tridecemlineatus (thirteen-lined ground squirrel) tRNA". It matches the Rfam family "tRNA". From Rfam's summary of the family: Transfer RNA (tRNA) molecules are approximately 80 nucleotides in length. Their secondary structure includes four short double-helical elements and three loops (D, anti-codon, and T loops). Further hydrogen bonds mediate the characteristic L-shaped molecular structure. tRNAs have two regions of fundamental functional importance: the anti-codon, which is responsible for specific mRNA codon recognition, and the 3' end, to which the tRNAs corresponding amino acid is attached (by aminoacyl-tRNA synthetases). tRNAs cope with the degeneracy of the genetic code in two manners: having more than one tRNA (with a specific anti-codon) for a particular amino acid; and 'wobble' base-pairing, i.e. permitting non-standard base-pairing at the 3rd anti-codon position. Lineage: Eukaryota; Metazoa; Chordata; Mammalia; Rodentia; Sciuridae. The record is from Rfam by way of RNAcentral.